UCUAAAUACUCAAUCAUGGCCGAUAUCAACCUACCAAAGUGAUAUUGCUGCCCACAGAGGUGGGAGAAGGUGCGGGCAGCUGCCUCCCAGGGACUGGUGCCAGCUGGCUCCCAUCCCCCACUGUGUGUGCCAAGGACCUUAGUGGGUAGUAUUCCAGGAGGAAUCUCAAACCCUCAUUCUUUGUGA
RNAcentral lists this long non-coding RNA (186 nucleotides) under Felis catus (domestic cat). RNAcentral's name for it is "lncRNA (ENSFCAG00000047359.1)". Lineage: Eukaryota; Metazoa; Chordata; Mammalia; Carnivora; Felidae. The record is from RNAcentral.